GAUGAACGCUGGCGGCGUGCCUAAUACAUGCAAGUAGAACGCUGAAGCUUGGUGCUUGCACCGAGCGGAUGAGUUGCGAACGGGUGAGUAACGCGUAGGUAACCUGCCUCUUAGCGGGGGAUAACUAUUGGAAACGAUAGCUAAUACCGCAUAAAAGUCGACAUUGCAUGAUGUUGACUUGAAAGGUGCAGUUGCAUCACUAAGAGAUGGACCUGCGUUGUAUUAGCUAGUUGGUGAGGUAGCGGCUCACCAAGGCAACGAUACAUAGCCGACCUGAGAGGGUGAUCGGCCACACUGGGACUGAGACACGGCCCAGACUCCUACGGGAGGCAGCAGUAGGGAAUCUUCGGCAAUGGGGGCAACCCUGACCGAGCAACGCCGCGUGAGUGAAGAAGGUUUUCGGAUCGUAAAGCUCUGUUGUAAGAGAAGAACGAGUGUGAGAGUGGAAAGUUCACACUGUGACGGUAACUUACCAGAAAGGGACGGCUAACUACGUGCCAGCAGCCGCGGUAAUACGUAGGUCCCGAGCGUUAUCCGGAUUUAUUGGGCGUAAAGCGAGCGCAGGCGGUUAGAUAAGUCUGAAGUUAAAGGCUGUGGCUUAACCAUAGUACGCUUUGGAAACUGUUUAACUUGAGUGCAGAAGGGGAGAGUGGAAUUCCAUGUGUAGCGGUGAAAUGCGUAGAUAUAUGGAGGAACACCGGUGGCGAAAGCGGCUCUCUGGUCUGUAACUGACGCUGAGGCUCGAAAGCGUGGGGAGCAAACAGG
RNAcentral lists this ribosomal RNA (765 nucleotides) under uncultured Streptococcus sp. RNAcentral's name for it is "bacterial SSU rRNA". It matches the Rfam family "Bacterial small subunit ribosomal RNA", at positions 28 to 776 of the family's 1533-position model. Lineage: Bacteria; Bacillati; Bacillota; Bacilli; Lactobacillales; Streptococcaceae. The record is from RNAcentral.